This 253-nucleotide ribosomal RNA is filed under the name uncultured bacterium. Its description in RNAcentral is "partial 16S ribosomal RNA". It matches the Rfam family "Bacterial small subunit ribosomal RNA", at positions 524 to 776 of the family's 1533-position model. The record is from RNAcentral.
CACGUAGGGCGCGAGCGUUGUCCGGAAUUAUUGGGCGUAAAGAGCUCGUAGGCGGCCUGUUGCGUCCGCUGUGAAAGCCCGGGGCUUAACCCCGGGUCGGCAGUGGAUACGGGCAGGCUAGAGGUAGGUAGGGGAGAAUGGAAUUCCCGGUGUAGCGGUGAAAUGCGCAGAUAUCGGGAGGAACACCGGUGGCGAAGGCGGUGGUCUGGGCCGGCACUGACGCUGAGGAGCGAAAGCGUGGGGAGCGAACAGG